Erinaceus europaeus (western European hedgehog) is the source of this 123-nucleotide small nucleolar RNA. The record is from Ensembl. Lineage: Eukaryota; Metazoa; Chordata; Mammalia; Eulipotyphla; Erinaceidae.
AGGCAACACUCCGGGACAGAUUAUUGAACUGUCUGUCACAAUUUGAGCUUGCUACAGCAAGAAAGUCGAUUCUAUUCUGGUAUUCUCUCCUCUGAGACCUGGCAGAUUAUUAACUUUAGCAUU